Molecule: ribosomal RNA, 374 nt
Filed under: Sphingomonas sp. 3F6
Lineage: Bacteria; Pseudomonadati; Pseudomonadota; Alphaproteobacteria; Sphingomonadales; Sphingomonadaceae
Description: bacterial SSU rRNA
Rfam family: Bacterial small subunit ribosomal RNA
Source: RNAcentral
UGGCGCACGGGUGCGUAACGCGUGGGAAUCUGCCUUGGGGUUCGGAAUAACUCCCCGAAAGGGGUGCUAAUACCGGAUGAUGUCGAAAGACCAAAGAUUUAUCGCCCUGAGAUGAGCCCGCGUAGGAUUAGCUAGUUGGUGUGGUAAAGGCGCACCAAGGCGACGAUCCUUAGCUGGUCUGAGAGGAUGAUCAGCCACACUGGGACUGAGACACGGCCCAGACUCCUACGGGAGGCAGCAGUGGGGAAUAUUGGACAAUGGGCGAAAGCCUGAUCCAGCAAUGCCGCGUGAGUGAUGAAGGCCUUAGGGUUGUAAAGCUCUUUUACCCGGGAAGAUAAUGACUGUACCGGGAGAAUAAGCCCCGGCUAACUCCG